UUUUCAAUUUUGUUUGAAAUGUAAAAAUAUGAAUUUUGAUGAAAUUUGAAAUUUGAAUCUGAAGGCCUCCAGCGAGCUCGGUCACCAAAUGCAAUUUCCGUAUUUUAGAGGUGCUUUGUAAUCCUUUUGGAAAGAAAAAAGAGACAAGCCAACUAACUGACUGAAUCCAACACAACACAAGUUCACAACAAGGAGAAGCCACAUGCAUCACCAGUACACAUUAACCGCAAACCGAUCUUCACCUAAACAGCAUGCAUGGAUGCAUGCAUGAAGAUGAAGAGGCAACACCGAUGGAGUCGGAGUACUUUAUUUCUGGCCAUCCUAAGCUCAGCAGUCCCGCUCGCAGUAGCACUUGCGCUCGACGUGGUGCUGGUUGCACUGCCCGCGG
Molecule: long non-coding RNA, 388 nt
Filed under: Triticum aestivum (bread wheat)
Lineage: Eukaryota; Viridiplantae; Streptophyta; Magnoliopsida; Poales; Poaceae
Description: long non-coding RNA (TAES_LNC015415)
Source: RNAcentral